GGGCUCGUGGCCAAAUGGCAAGGCGCUUGACUACGAUUCCGUGUACAAUCAAGAGAUUCCAGGGUAAAGUCCAAGCAUUCCUCGAGUUGCAUUGACACUAAUAAUCGUUCUAGUUCGAUCCCUGGCGGGCUCG
Trematosphaeria pertusa is the source of this 133-nucleotide non-coding RNA. Lineage: Eukaryota; Fungi; Ascomycota; Dothideomycetes; Pleosporales; Trematosphaeriaceae. The record is from the annotation of a RefSeq genome assembly.